Long non-coding RNA from Manis pentadactyla (Chinese pangolin), 975 nucleotides. RefSeq lists it as uncharacterized. The record is from RefSeq and is a predicted model, not a curated record. NCBI's taxonomy places the organism in Eukaryota, Metazoa, Chordata, Mammalia, Pholidota, Manidae. The transcript is spliced from 4 exons.
GUGCGGCCACUCACGCGCCACCUGGGACGCCAGGCCAACCCUGCUUCCUGUCCCCACUCCCCAGGAAUGAGGUGAUCAUGUCACACACACUGAAAUUCAAUAAACUGAAACAAUCAGAGGAAGUGUGGAGCUUUCUCCACAGAGGCAGCGAAACGGGACCCUGCUUAUCAAAGUGACAAGAUUUGUUCAGUUGCUACAAACUUCCAAAGACUUCCUUUCCCAAAAGAAAGGCCGGGAGAAAGCAGAAGGAAAAUAGAUUGAAAAACAUACACAUCAGACAUACCACCCAGGGAAGGAGAGAAACUAUGAAUGGAUUCAGAUCAUACACGCAAAGGAGCCGAGAAACCAGCUUAGAUCUGUGACAGUGCCAUGUACAGUGUGUGCCAUGAAGACACCGAAAUGUGUGAGAGUGAAGAUAUAAUAGGAAAUUCAGACAUUUCUCUUCUUGAAGAAAAGCAGAAAUAACCCGUCAGUGCCAGAGGAAGAAGCACGGAAGCCGCAGCGGACGGCGGGACACAAAUGGCUUCGUGAGUCUCUCGGUUCUUCGGCUCUGAUGAAAUUCCACCCAUAAGUGACAGAACUGUGCAGGUGAAGAGCUCUGCAAAAUGGCCUUUCUCCAAGCAGUCAUGCUGGGACCCACAUCUUCAACAAGUCUCCGUUUCUGCUGGCCCUGAUGGGACAGCUGAUGAUGGGGGACAGCUUCAUCUAUGGGCAGGUGUGGAAGGGGUACAAAUCACCUCAGCUCAUAUUCUAGCAUUAGAACUCAGUCACCUGGCCAUGCCUAACUUAAAGAAACAUGGCAAAUGUAAACUGCGGUGUGUGCAGGAAGAAGAGGAAAUCAUUUUGGUGAACUGCCAUCAGUCUUUGCCUCAUCAGUCACCACCAUCCUGCAAAUGGGUCAAAAACUACCGGAACCUGUACUGGAAUAAUAAUAACAGUUGUUGGGUUCUUAUUAUGUGCCAGGGCUGUUCAGAG